Molecule: long non-coding RNA, 1831 nt
Filed under: Volvox carteri
Lineage: Eukaryota; Viridiplantae; Chlorophyta; Chlorophyceae; Chlamydomonadales; Volvocaceae
Description: long non-coding RNA (VCAR_LNC003881)
Source: RNAcentral
UGGUGGUCUCCAUCCCUGGGUCCGGACGCUCUCCGCCUAUAUGCUGCUCACCCACCCCGCCUUCCAACCGUGGGCCCUGACGACCGCCAGCCAAGCCGGGCCCCGACUCGGCGGAAGUGACCUACCCACGGAUAUCAGCCGGAUUGUGGGCGCCCUGGGACACCUACCACCGCUCCGGGAUAUCGAGACCAGCCCCCUGUCCCCCGGCCCGUGGUGCUGGGCAACCGCGUUGUGGGGUAACCCGUUGCUCCCCAAUACCGGCGAGGCAGACCCAGACAGUUUGAACCGCCGCCCGGGCCUGGAGACGCACUUCGUGGGGAUCGCUACAUGCAGGAAACUGCAAACGGUGGGCGACCUAGUGCGGAUCUGGGACCUAGUGGUGCAUACUCGAGUGGCCUCCCUCCCCAGGUCGACCUGGCCCGAAUGGGUCAGGACACACCUCGACCCAUCAACCCCAGCACCCACGCGGGACAGGUCAGCGACCCUGGCAGCCCUUAAGACGCUACAUGGCGCUAUCAACCCGGCCUGGCUCGAAGCUGCAAGAGCAGUGGAAACCCAACAGCAACAGCAACCCCAGCCGCAGGCACAGCUGCAGCCACAGCCGCAGUCACAGCCACAGCCGCAGCCACAGCCGCAGCCACAGCCGCAGCCACAGCUGCAGCUACAGCUGCAGCUACAGCUGCAGCUACAGCCGCAGCCUCAGCCGCAGCCACAGCCGCAGCCACAGCCGCAGGUACAGCCACAACAGCUGCAAACACAACCACAGCUACAGACACAGCAUCAGCCGCAGCCGCAACAGCAGCAACAGCCGCAGCAACAGCUACAGACGCAGCCGCAUGAGCAGCAACCCCAACAGCAGCAGCCAGAGAUGCCAACGGCGGGGGACAUGGCGGCUCCAAGCACCCCCAACAGCACUCAGGCGAUGGCUANNNNNNNNNNNNNNNNNNNNNNNNNNNNNNNNNNNNNNNNNNNNNNNNNNGAAGACUCAGUACCAUCGUUCCUCCAGGCCAUGGACACCUUUGCCCGGGCAUCUGGCCAACGCCUAAAUCUCGACAAAGUGGAGCUGCUGUGGAUUGGCCAAUUAAACCAACAGCAGGCGCAACCUGCAACCCAGGCCGGGCCCCAAUCAGCUGCCCCUCAGCAGGAGUCAAUAGGAGGUCUCAAGGUGGUGACCACCGCCACCGCCCUGAACCUGCCGAUUGACAACCAGCCAUCCCCGCCACAGCCCGACUGGAUGAAGAGACUCGGGGAAGCCAAGCGGCGACUGCAGCGGCUCUCCCGCUUCCCGCUAUCAGCAUUCAGUCGAGCCACAGCGGCAUCGGUGUACGGAAUGCAGACAGUCACCUGGCACAUGGAGCAUGGUGGGCCGCCCCCCAACCGUACGCUGGACGAAAUAGAACGCCUAACGGCCCGCCUCGUCGACCGGCAGCAGGGCCCAGAAGACCCCGGCCGCCGCUUGACAGGGGUGCCUAAGGAUCUCUUGACCGGCCACCCGUCGGCUGGAGGCUUUGGCCUGCUGCCCCUCCAGCAACACAUCCAGGCUCGGCAUGCGGUAUGGGCUGUGCGCUUCAUCAUAGCGGCCCUCGGGCUAUCUAACGUGUCAUGUGGGCCAGGGACAGGUGGAGCUGCAGGAACCACAGGUGGUACCGGGGGGCACGGGAGGGCAGAUGGUGGUCUCCAUCCCUGGGUCCGGACGCUCUCCGCCUAUAUGCUGCUCACCCACCCCGCCUUCCAACCGUGGGCCCUGACGACCGCCAGCCAAGCCGGGCCCCGACUCGGCGGAAGUGACCUACCCACGGAUAUCAGCCGGAUUGUGGGCGCCCUGGGACAC